This 237-nucleotide ribosomal RNA is filed under the name uncultured Glomus. RNAcentral describes it as "partial 18S ribosomal RNA". It matches the Rfam family "Eukaryotic small subunit ribosomal RNA", at positions 669 to 886 of the family's 1831-position model. Lineage: Eukaryota; Fungi; Glomeromycota; Glomeromycetes; Glomerales; Glomeraceae. The record is from RNAcentral.
GGAUCAAUAUUUCGGUCAUGCCGUUGGUAUGCACUGUUAUCAUUGAUUUCUCACCUUCUAAAGAACCGUAAUGCCAUUAAUUUGGUGUUACGGGGAAUUAGGACUGUUACCUUGAAAAAUUAGAGCGUUUAAAGCAGGCUCACGCUUGAAUACAUUAGCAUGGAAUAAUGAAAUAGGACAUCCGAUUCUAUUUGUUGGUUUCUAGGAUCGAUGUAAUGAUUAAUAGGGAUAGUUGGG